AGAGUUUGAUCCUGGCUCAGGACGAACGCUGGCGGCGUGCCUAACACAUGCAAGUCGAGCGAGUAAAUCUCCUUCGGGAGUGAAGCUAGCGGCGGACGGGUGAGUAACACGUGGGCAACCUGCCUCAUAGAGGGGAAUAGCCUUCCGAAAGGAAGAUUAAUACCGCAUAAGAUUGUAGCUUCGCAUGAAGUAGCAAUUAAAGGAGCAAUCCGCUAUGAGAUGGGCCCGCGGCGCAUUAGCUAGUUGGUGAGGUAACGGCUCACCAAGGCGACGAUGCGUAGCCGACCUGAGAGGGUGAUCGGCCACAUUGGGACUGAGACACGGCCCAGACUCCUACGGGAGGCAGCAGUGGGGAAUAUUGCACAAUGGGGGAAACCCUGAUGCAGCAACGCCGCGUGAGUGAUGACGGCCUUCGGGUUGUAAAGCUCUGUCUUCAGGGACGAUAAUGACGGUACCUAAGGAGGAAGCCACGGCUAACUACGUGCCAGCAGCCGCGGUAAUACGUAGGUGGCAAGCGUUAUCCGGAUUUACU
This 532-nucleotide ribosomal RNA is filed under the name uncultured bacterium. RNAcentral describes it as "bacterial SSU rRNA". It matches the Rfam family "Bacterial small subunit ribosomal RNA", at positions 8 to 555 of the family's 1533-position model. The record is from RNAcentral.